Paramormyrops kingsleyae is the source of this 3566-nucleotide long non-coding RNA. RefSeq lists it as uncharacterized. NCBI's taxonomy places the organism in Eukaryota, Metazoa, Chordata, Actinopteri, Osteoglossiformes, Mormyridae. The record is from RefSeq and is a predicted model, not a curated record.
AGAAUAGGACGGUGUCCAGAAAGGUGUGGGAACUUGUGAGCGUUAAUAUUCUUCGUUGUUUCAUUAGUUUGAGAAGCUUGUACAGUUUUGAAGUAAAUGAAUUUAAUUCCGCUACUUAACGGUUUUCCUGAUAGGGGUGCGACGGGCAGUUCGUCACCACCAAAUGUGUAUGCAUUCUGAAUAUUAAAUUGAUCUGCUUUGCAAAAUUAUCUUUUCGCCUACCCCAUCUUGCUCUCCAUGAGCAAGCUUGGCAGCAAAAGGCUGCCACCCGUAGCGGCGCUCAGGGAGCUGGGGGUUAAGGGCUUUGCCCAAAAGGGCACAGAUCUGCUUGAGCAUAGGCUUGAGCUGGCGACCUUCCGAUCACAGACAGAGAGACGUAGCUCACUGAGCCACAGGCUUGUUUUGCGGGUAUUUAUUACGUUAGAUAAAGUUUGUUAGUGAAAGUAACGUAAGAACCCACGUUUGACAGGGGAAAGUUAAUAAAUAAGUCAUUUAUAUAAAUUACGAAUUAAAUUACAUAUAUAUGUAGGCAAGGAAUAUAUGUUCCAUACUGCGAUGUUGGAUUUGUCUUUGUGCGGUUAGGCUUUGUAGAGCAUGUGGGUCAUUCAGGCCUAUAUGUGGCUGGUAGGCAGAUUAUAGCCCACAGAGUACCAAACAAGGUCAAAGGUGACUUUGGAAGGUUCUUGUUACACCAGUUACAUGUAGAUAAAAAUUAGUAUCUUGUAUUUCACUUCUUAGGGGGUGCUGGUACAGAAGCAUGCCUAUGGGCUUCAAGGGCCACUAAAGUUAAUGUCAUAAUGUUAUAAUUACAGAACUGUAGCAUAUUUAAACACAAAUGUUGCAUGUUGCUGCACAUAUUAUGUUGUGCUUUAUUCAAGCUUUGUGAGUAAAUUUAUAUCGGUAAAUCUCAUAUCUUUCAUAAUCUUUGCGGGCAACUUACUCUACAAAGAGCAAGUUGAGGGAGGCAUAAAAACAAUUUCCCCACGGGGAUCAAUAAAGUAUCAAUUAUUAUUAAUUCACGUAAAUGACAUAGGCAAAACAUAAGGAGACAUUGAAUUGUUUCAGCAUCUUUGUUCUCCCCCUUCACCAUAUCACCUUCAAGAUUUUUCAGAGGUGAUGCCGGAGCUGGGGACAGCAUUUGUACACAAUGUAUGGUACACCACUGGGGCCCAGAGCAGAAGCAGAGCGUGCCUUAAUUAUCUCCUCAACCUCCUUCAGGCUCGGCUUCCUCAGAUCGAACAUUGUUGUUGGUGGAGCUGGGUUGAUGAGGGCUCUGUUGGGUUCAAGCUCCUGUUCUCUCAUUGGAUUAUGGAAUAUUAUUUAGCAUUUCAUAACGCAUAGAGAAUGUAAUGAUUAGGACUCUAUAAGAAGCUGAUGUAAACUGUUCAGGAAGUGACUUUGUAACCUUCAGAGAAUGCAGACCAAUUACUGCUGUGCACAAUGUGACGAAAAACAAGUAUGAAUGAGCACCUUGUGUUGGCCUAGAAGUUUCUGUAUCUGUUAGCCAUUUGGUUAGCCUUUAGUGUAUGAAUAUGUACUUUAUUAGUGUUGCAGCUUAUCACUAUGUAGAAGGACAACCACCUGGCCAGACAAUCUGCAACAAGCAGAAGCUGCCAAGGUUUGCUACUGAAGGAAGGGAUUCGCCUCAGUUCACCAAAAGUACAUGGCUGGGCAUUUAAAAAAAACUGAGUAGAGAUGGUCACAUCACCGUUAUGUUCAGCCGAGGCACCAAACAGUAAAAGAGAUGAUUGACAAACAUCAUAUAGGGGUGUGGAUUAAGGGAGAAAACAACGAUGGUGAAUGGUUGAGGGAAUGAUGAUGCUUAAGUGGCGAGAUAUUGUUACGCAAUGAUAAAAUGUAUAAAAAUUGGUGUAAAACAGUAUUGGUCACACUUUAAGUGUCCGGCCUUGGUUGUAACUUCAUUAUUGCAAUAAAGACUGAAUUUGGAUCUACACCAGCGGCUUCUGACUUCUGAUUUGGAGGAGAAGGAAAAAACCACAACAUAAAUUGGCAUCACGAACAGGAUCGGAGAAGAGACCUGGGGAGGCGACCACCUGGCGGAGAACCGGGGAACACCCGUUUGCAUUAAAGUGGCGUGCCCUAAAAUAGGGGUCAGCAGUUCAUCCACAUGAGGAUACUGCAGGGAUGUGAACACGUGCUUAGGUCAAAUUUGGAUGGAUUGACAAAGCACAGCGCCACAGUAUGUGAGUGAUCUGCUCUGUGUUAUAUGCACAGGCACUGAAGCUGCCGUUGCUGAAGGUCUUAGCGAAAGGGGGGCUUGAGGUGCCCCAAGCUAAGCUGCAAUACUGAUAAGAACAGGCUGAAAUACUGAUAAGAACAGGCUGGGGUGUGAAUUCAGCCACGGGAGGGGCCCUUAUGAGGCCUCUGUGUAGAAACAAAGGGGGCCACUAAGGACACUGAUGGUCUGUUUCACAACCGUGAUGGAUUUUUGGUUGUGUCUUUGUCGGUGUCUGACACCUUGAUAAUUAAUGUGCAUGGUCUUGACCAUUGCGCAAGGGGGGAGUGCUACAAAAAAAAAAAGAAGAAGUUUAUGAGUUGAAGUUGUACAUGGGGUGUCUAACUCAAAUAUGCAAAGUUAUUUUCAAGCAGGAAAAGGGGAAAGCAAGACGGCAAGAGAAGACGGACGAGGACAAACCAGUCAUCUCCCCAGGAGACAGACUAUACCUCAAAGUGUAAAAUCAUAGGUGUUACAGGAUGAGAUGGCAAUAAAUGCAGGACAACAUGACAGGUUGUUUGACUGGUGGUAUAAUAUGUGAGGCAGUUGGCAGCAAGUCCUUACGAAAGCGCUAUGUGUGGGUGCUGUGCUUGUUUUUGCUCUGCUACUAAUCUUUUGUUGUGUAGUUCCUCUUGUUCACUCCCUAGUGGGGAGAGCACUGUCCCGGCAGGCGGCUAUAGCUGCAAUGUCUAGUGUGGUGGGAGGACCGUUUGGAGUGGCAUCCUCCUGGACCAACGCGGAAACAGAUGGCGACACAGACACCUUGGAUGCGGUCCUGCCCAUAGCUGCAGUUCAGCCGUACUGCCCGGGAAUACUUCAAGCAGGAGACCUGCAGCAUGCCUGCCUCCCACGACAUCUGGGAUUGUUCUGCUUACGGAGAGGUGUCUGUUGUACUAGUCUGUAAUGUUAUUAGUUAACCUUUUAGUUAUCUUUGUAUUACAUAUAUCUGUUUUUGUAUUGGGUUUGUAAUAGAUUUUGUAGUCCUGCUGUAUAUGCAAUAUAUCCAGGGGAGAUCAUUGUAUGGCGAUCCUCCCCUCCCUUUCCUGCUGUACCCCCUGUGCUGCUGUUGGUUGAUUCUCAGUGUUAGUAGUUUGUGAGCCAUGCCAGCCCUGGACCCUGAAGGGGGACUGCGCCAUUUGCCGGGUUGGGAGUGGAAUUUCCCUGAUGCUCAGGGUUUUUGCCCUCCUUCCUAGGUUGGAUGGGCAGUAUUGUCUGUGGGACUCUUUGGAGUGCCAAUGGGGGGAAAUAUAUGGAAUAUUAUUGUGACAAUCUGAAACAAGCAGAAGCUGCCAAGGUUUGCUACUGAAGGAAGGGAUUCGCCUCAGUUCAC